Molecule: transfer RNA, 72 nt
Organism: Camelus ferus (Wild Bactrian camel)
Lineage: Eukaryota; Metazoa; Chordata; Mammalia; Artiodactyla; Camelidae
Rfam family: tRNA
About the family: Transfer RNA (tRNA) molecules are approximately 80 nucleotides in length. Their secondary structure includes four short double-helical elements and three loops (D, anti-codon, and T loops).
Source: Rfam
GAGGGUAUAGCUCAGUGGUAGAGCAUGAGCUUGGCAUGCAUGAGGUCCUGGUUUCAAUCCCCAGUACCUCCA